UUAGACCAACAAUGGAUACGUGCCAUGCUUCGAUUAAGCAAUAAAGCAACAACAUUAAGCACCAAAUAGAAAAACAAUAUACGUUGGAUUAUAUACAAUAAGUCAUCAACAUUCAACGACAACGAGGAUACAUGUUGGAUUAUAGAUUAUUUCCAACAAAACAUUCUAGUAAAUACUAAAGUUUUUCUCACACAACAAAUAAGUGAUGAAAUGAAUUCAGCUCAACCAAUCCUCGGCGUUGGAAACGCUUGCUUUGAACCAUAACCGAUUCUCUGGGAAGGGUCAGCUAUUGCCAGUCUCGAGACCAACGCAGGACUGAUCAUCCAGGCUGAAGCGGCCUAUAUCAGGACGCAUAUUGUGAUAACCACGGUAGGGAACCAUAGCAAUGUCCGAGAUAUAGCAGUUGCUUAUCACAAAUGGUAGUAACGUUGUGCCAACAGUAGCUGGACCGCCUUUCACCAUCAUUGGAUAGUUUUGUCCAAGGAAGAGCGAAUUUUCUCCAAGACUAUCAAUACUGAACCAGGGAGAAGGUUUUGGCGCUAGCACACGAGUAUCCAUCCCGAAUACCCUGCAACGGAUGUUGGAAUAGAUCCAGAAAGUGCGACCAUGAUAGACAACACCUGGUUCAUUAGUAACAUCAGCAGUGCCCUGUAUACAUACAAGAAGAGGUGAUCCAUCGGAAUAAGUUGCCAGGCGCCACUGAGUAUAUAGGUCCUCCUCGUCAUCAUGCUCGUGAUCAUCACCAUCGUCAUCUCUUUUUGGUUAUAAAAAUUUUCAAGUAUAGGUGGUGGAAUGUUCACAGGACCUUGGAAACACAAGAAUGCUAAUUAGUAAAGGGAAAUUCGCGAACCCGCAUGCAUGUGGAUUAAACAAUCUCUACCUAAUAAUAAUAAAGAGAAUUAAGAGAAUUGGGUUUGUGCCGUACGUCGUCGGCAUUUUUACAGAAACCCCCCUACUGUUUCAGGUAUUCAACCCGCAAUCCACCACGUAAAGAACGGUUCGCCAGGUGAUCCACCUCUAAUUUCCCCUCUACGCCGCCACCCGCCCGAGACGACCGCGCCCGACCGCCCGAUUCUGCGCCUCCCGCCGGAGACCGCCACCGACGAGGGCCACGCCGGCGAUCUCCCCUCACCGCAUGCCUCCUCUUCGGCGUUCAUGUCGGUGGCGACCUCCUGUGUUGUGCAGCGGGAGAGAGCUUUGAGUAAAGGUGAGAGGACGAAGAAGAAAUAAGAGAGAUGGGGCGACGUGCUACAGGUGCUGCUCACCGGCGGGAGGACGGUGAGGGCGGAGCAAGGCGGUGGCGGAGUGGGCCUUGGGCGAUGUGGUCGGAUCGAGCAGUGCUCGAUGCAGAGGCGGGCGCUGGCUCGCUGCUCCUCCCGAGACGGAGCAGGGGCGCGAUGCAGUUGACUUGGUAGAGAGUGCCUGCGCCUUGACGACUCCAACGAGGUAGAAAGGCCUGGGACGGACACGGGGGAAACGGAUCCGUACGUUUGCCGGCUGGAUCGGAACGUGGGCAAGCCCAGGUGGCGUGUGGCAACGGAUGAAGGUGCCCGCGGCCAUGAAGCUCCGAUGAUGGCGCUGCAGAGAGCAAAAAAAUAGAGGGAGCGGAGCUCAGGUAGGAGAUGGAGAGCACGGGGAGGAGGAGAGGUCCAGGCACAGCUGUGCGUGCUCACCGGCGGCCUAGCCGACGACGCGGCGGAGCGGCAGUGGAUUGGCCGGGUCAGAAGCUUGGCCUCCGUGGCGCUCGUUCCUGGUGGCGAUGUUGCUGGCUCUGGUCGCGCACUCUAGGUGUGGCGGGGCGACGCCAAGCCAUUUGUGGGCUUUCUGGAUAGAGAAGGGAGAGCAGCGCGUCGCCGGAAGCUGCCAUCGCCCCGCAACCAUGAUGCCCGUCGCCUCACAGCACUAGCCAUCGCCUCUCGCAGCAGGGCAUGUCGAGCUCCGGCGGCUGGGGCAAGAAAGGGCAAGGUGAGAGGGGAGCCUAUUAGGCGCAGUGCUGUGGAGGAGUGGCGAUGAGUGAGAUAAAUUGCGGCAGACAACGAAAGGACAUGGCAACACGAUGGGAGGGAGAUUGGGGAAGACGACUGAGCGAGAGGAUAAGGUCAUGUGGAGAUAGCGGUGCAGGGGGCCGCCGGACACACGUAAUGAGUGCAGGGCGGCUGAUGCGUUUUUUGUGUGCGUGGGAAUGAUGCGUUCGUUGACUAUAGUCAGCUAAACCAAAGCCAUGUGGGGAGUCCAUAUGACUCGUGGAGCACCAGCGAGGUGCUGGUUUCUUCUAGCAAUCAGCCAACGUACUUUGAGAGUAACGUGUCA
Molecule: long non-coding RNA, 2310 nt
Filed under: Triticum aestivum (bread wheat)
Lineage: Eukaryota; Viridiplantae; Streptophyta; Magnoliopsida; Poales; Poaceae
Description: long non-coding RNA (TAES_LNC022370)
Source: RNAcentral